CGCCAAGAAUCUAUUGUUCAUACUGGCAGCAGCGUCUGUGAAGGGAAAAGUAUCUGUUCAGGGCUCACCUUUAAGGAAAACCUUCUCCACAGAAAGGCAAAAUUUAAACUGACAAGAGAAAAACCUCUAAAAGCUAAAGGAUAUUGUAUCAAACUAAACAAGCAUCAUGGGACGAGGUGAGAGUGAGGGGUGGGAGGAAGAGCCUAAGACAACUCAACCCCAGAGUCAUGGGGACAACAAGGAAAAAAGUUCCAAGGGUGGAGGCUGUCCAAAGUGCUGCUUGAAGACCAGGGACUGUCUGAUGAGCCCAGAAUGUGGCAGAGCACUGCAGAUCUCCAGUGUUGUCGCCUUCUGCGGAAUGUGUAUCCGUGCAUGGACGUAAUCACCAAGACCUUCGGGACUUCUAUGAACUAUGAAGAAUCUUUCAAUCUUCUGAUUGAAAUAUUUUAGUGUACUCUGAAAUGAAAAAUGUUUCAUUUUACUCUUUACUUAGUUUUUCUUAACUUCAGUAAAUAUUUAAUAUAAAAAAAUAAGUUAGCAGUAUUUUAAACAGAUAGGCCAGUUAUUAAAAAUGUCAUACUUUACCAAAAUAUUUGAUUUAUGUUGAAAGAGGGAAGUGUAUUUGUAUCUAUGCAGUAAAUAAUGUCAUAAUGUAGAAAGCUGGAGUCAAGCUUGUUUGUAUAUAUUGUAAUUUAAAGAAUUACAUGGGAAGAGUUUGAAUGUAUACAAUAACUAAGUAAGCGUAAUUUAUUUUUGAGUCAAAGUAAAAAAUUUUUAUCUCCCUACAAAUGGGUCACAUGUAAAAGAUAAAUAAUAUUCAUAUUGAAAACCUGUUCUCACAAUUUGAUCACAACAAAAAUCAUCUGACAUUCAUCAAGGCCUUCAAGUUGAAGGCUUUGGUUCAGUUUGCCCAUUUUUAGAGACUGUUAAUUUUGUGAAACAAAAACCACAUUUCCUUCCAUUGGACAGUAAGCAGAUAAUAAAAAUAUAAAUCAUCAGUUGUUAAAUCUGAUAAAAUGUAAAGAUGAUUGAUAAAAAAUGUUCUGUGGCAGAUUGCUCAAUUUUGCAUACAAAAAAAGUCAGUUGUGAAAAAAAAUAAAAGGCAGGAAAAAUUGAAAAUUUGACGUUGUUUUACAGUACUAGUAAGGUUGCAUGUGUGGGUCAGGGUUAAAUUCUGUACAAAAAAGAACUCCAACAACUAUAAAGUACAGGAGUUGCAUCAUGUUGUGUGUGUGUUUUGUUGCAGGAAGAACUGGUGCACUUCACAAAAUAGAUGACAUCAUGAGAAAAAGAGCUCUAUGUGCAAAUAUUGAACGUCUCAAUAUUUAGUAAAUGCUGCAGACUUUUUAUACAGAAAAUUCUUAAAAUUAUAUGUAGCUCACCAAAAGCAUAUUAGUUUUCAGUAUUUGUUAUUAGUGUAUAUGUUAGAUUCAUUUGUCCUUAUGUAGCUGCCUUCCUGUGUCCCACUGUGUCAGCAAAGGCAUCACAAUACAGGGGUGACAUUUAAGGCGGACAGAUUAAGGCCUCUCUCCAAUUAAUUUCGCUUUCCUCUCCCUGCUAAAUACACAAUCAACCAAAGGCAAAAUGUCACUGAAACAAACGAGGAGCCGCCGUGUGGCUGACAAUUACCACCAAGCACCUCAGAAAUGCCAAUAUGUUAAACUGGGAGCGGUGUGUGAGAUGAAUGAGCACAAAUGGCGAUCCAGAGGCCUGGUGUUGCAGCCUUGCCAAAAAUGGAAAGCGUGCGGUCCUUGGCAUUUUUAUUUGGUAAUGACAGCUGACAAGUCGAUGCAUAGGUCAAACGUUUCAAAGGUGUUGACCAUAACAUAUCUGAUAAAUAGGAUCACAUCAUUAGUAAUACAAGAAAAAUGCACCGUUCUGCACAGCAUUAUAAGCCGGUAUUGAUUACAUGAUACCAAAUCAAUUUUCUGAAUUCACCGUAGUGUCUUAAGUCAAUGAUACAUUUUUAAUAUAUAAACUAUUAAGACCACAACACAGUUUUAUGCUGUGUUAUUUCUGUACACAAGCCCAGACAAGUCUAAAAUCCCAGCAAUAACUACUAAUACCCAGGAAAAAGCGAGCUAGAAACGACCAGGCACUAUGACUAGAGAGCAGAAACAAUCUUAUAAUGGACUGAGGAAACCAGAAACAAUACAGAGGUACAGUAUAUAAAAGGGAAAUUAUGAUCUGCUGGUUUUCCAGAUAAUUUAAGUUUGAUAUUCAUUUAAGAUUUAAUCUGGGGAUAUUUAGUUAUGCCUGUGGGACAAGAACUCUUCCUACUCACUAUUAAUGAACUAUUAUCAUGAUGUAAUCACAAAGUUAGUUUAUUUUACUGAGUUUGUUUUAUGUUUGAGUUGUCCACAUGCUUAAGCAGAGCAUCUAGCUCUUUUGUGCUUUUUAAUAUAUACACAUUUAUUAUGUUUUAUUGCAUUUGUGACAACCUUCUCUUUUUCUCUCUAAAAAGGUUUAAUUUUCAAGAGUUUUUCCUGAGUAAAUCAGUUGUUGCAUAAAUAAGUUUAUAUAUAUAUAUAUAGAUAUACGCUGUAUAGAUAUAAUGAUGUUGACUAAAAAGUGUGGACAGCACUGAAAUAGAACCAAAUCUACUUUAGUUAAUGGAAACCCCCAUUGAGACUGACCAGGAUUUCAAGCUGCUCCUGUUGGACAGAAACUCACUUGGAAUGCAGCAAACCCAUCUGUUGUACUCAGACUGAGCCAUCUUAAAGGGCUGAAAUGUUUCAGUGUUGGGUGAUCAGCACCCACCUACCCUCUUACAGUUUAGAGUCAAGAAAACCCAAUCCCUAUCUGGGGACUACACUGUGUUUGUCAGGUUGUCAAAAUGGAAAUGCUCCUUCACAUAAUUCUUUUCCACAUUUUUUUUCUUGUCAGGCACCACAGUCUGCCCAUGUGAUUAUCUCCAUCCGCAGCAAGUCACGGUGUGAUGAAUAGCCAUUUUAUUCAAAAUAAAAUAACUAAAUACUGCUAAUAAAUAAUUUUUAAAUACUCCAUAAACUAAAUAAAGGUUCCAAUGAAGUUUUCUCAAGGUUUAGGUGGAAUCGUUUUUUGGGGACUGUGUGGACCGGAAAGUCUACGUAGUUCCCACUGGGUCUCUGAGGGGAUGGUCUCAGCAGCUUCAGCAAGAAUUUAUUUUUGAUAUGCCAGUCCCCUCUCACUUUCAAUGCAACAAUCUGCUGAAUGCAAAUACAACCGGGGUUAGAGCCCUGCUGUGCCCUGCAGUGUUUAAAGGCCUUCAAAUUGCUGCACUCUGAUGAGACCCAAAUGAACGAGACAUGAAUGAAAUGGCUUUUCAUGCGAUGCAUUUAGUCGAAGAAAUUCUAAAUGGACAAAAUAUGACAAAAAAUACUUUGGUGAGUCAAGGUUUUGCACAGUUUAAAGCAAAGGUUCUGUUGGUGAAAUGUAACUAUUCCAUAGACAUACGAAAUAAUUAUUUUCACAAACAUUUUUUUCUUAUGAACAAUCAUAAAUGUUUUGUGGAGAAUUUGCUUUAAUUAUGCCCUUGUGUAUCUGACACAAACGCUGCUUUGUUUGCUUAACGCCAGCAAGAAAUAAGAGUGACAAUGGAGACAUUUUA
Xiphophorus hellerii (green swordtail) is the source of this 3589-nucleotide long non-coding RNA. RefSeq lists it as uncharacterized. Lineage: Eukaryota; Metazoa; Chordata; Actinopteri; Cyprinodontiformes; Poeciliidae. The record is from RefSeq and is a predicted model, not a curated record. The transcript has 3 exons.